UGGCCGUAAACGAUGUGGACUUGGUGUUGGCCACGGUGCGACCGUUGUCGGUGCCGUAGGGAAGCCGUGAAGCGAGCCACCUGGGAAGUACGGCCGCAAGGCUGAAACUUAAAGGAAUUGGCGGGGGAGCACCACAACGGGUGGAGCUUGCGGUUUAAUUGGACUCAACGCCGGAAAUCUUACCGGGACCGACAGCAACAUGAAGGCCAGGCUGGAGACUUUGCCGGAUUAGCUGAGAGGAGGUGCAUGGCGUAGUCGUGU
RNAcentral lists this ribosomal RNA (261 nucleotides) under uncultured archaeon. RNAcentral's name for it is "partial 16S ribosomal RNA". It matches the Rfam family "Archaeal small subunit ribosomal RNA", at positions 748 to 1009 of the family's 1478-position model. The record is from RNAcentral.